This 253-nucleotide ribosomal RNA is filed under the name uncultured bacterium. RNAcentral describes it as "partial 16S ribosomal RNA". It matches the Rfam family "Bacterial small subunit ribosomal RNA", at positions 524 to 776 of the family's 1533-position model. The record is from RNAcentral.
GACGUAGGGCGCGAGCGUUGUCCGGAUUUAUUGGGCGUAAAGAGCUCGUAGGCGGCUUGUCGCGUCGACUGUGAAAACCCGCAGCUCAACUGCGGGCCUGCAGCGGAUACGGGCAGGCUAGAGUUCGGUAGGGGAGACUGGAAUUCCUGGUGUAGCGGUGAAAUGCGCAGAUAUCAGGAAGAACACCGAUGGCGAAAGCAGCUCUCUGGGACGGUACUGACGCUGAGACGCGAAAGCGGGGGGAGCGAACAGG